AUUGAACGCUGGCGGCAGGCCUAACACAUGCAAGUCGAGCGGAGCGGCGGACGGGUGAGUAAUGCCUAGGAAUCUGCCUGGUAGUGGGGGAUAACGUCCGGAAACGGGCGCUAAUACCGCAUACUAUCAGAUGAGCCUAGGUCGGAUUAGCUAGUUGGUGGGGUAAAGGCCUACCAAGGCGACGAUCCGUAACUAGUCUGAGAGGAAGGUCAGUCAGACGAAAACUUAUACACAGGGCAGAAUCGUACGGGAUGCAGCAAUUGGGAAUGUUGGACAAUGUUAGGAAUCGUGAUCGAGCCGUGCCGCAUAUGUGGAGAAGGAAUUCAGAUUGUAAAGCACUUUAAGUUGGGAUGCGUUACUAACAGAAUGAGCACCGGCUAACUUCGUGCCAGCAGCCGCGGUAAUAG
RNAcentral lists this ribosomal RNA (407 nucleotides) under uncultured bacterium. RNAcentral describes it as "partial 16S ribosomal RNA". It matches the Rfam family "Bacterial small subunit ribosomal RNA", at positions 30 to 526 of the family's 1533-position model. The record is from RNAcentral.